GCUUGUAUAGUUUAAUGGUUAAAACAUUUGUCUCAUAAAUAAAUUAUAUGGGUUCAAUUCCUGUUAUAAGCA
This 72-nucleotide transfer RNA is filed under the name Eremothecium sinecaudum. RNAcentral describes it as "tRNA-Met". It matches the Rfam family "tRNA". Rfam says of the family: Transfer RNA (tRNA) molecules are approximately 80 nucleotides in length. Their secondary structure includes four short double-helical elements and three loops (D, anti-codon, and T loops). Further hydrogen bonds mediate the characteristic L-shaped molecular structure. tRNAs have two regions of fundamental functional importance: the anti-codon, which is responsible for specific mRNA codon recognition, and the 3' end, to which the tRNAs corresponding amino acid is attached (by aminoacyl-tRNA synthetases). tRNAs cope with the degeneracy of the genetic code in two manners: having more than one tRNA (with a specific anti-codon) for a particular amino acid; and 'wobble' base-pairing, i.e. permitting non-standard base-pairing at the 3rd anti-codon position. Lineage: Eukaryota; Fungi; Ascomycota; Saccharomycetes; Saccharomycetales; Saccharomycetaceae. The record is from RNAcentral.